UACGUAGGGUGCGAGCGUUAAUCGGAAUUACUGGGCGUAAAGUGUGCGCAGGCGGCGCCGCAAGUCGAGUGUGAAAGCCCCGAGCUUAACUUGGGAACUGCGCUCGAAACUACUUGGCUAGAGUGUGGCAGAGGGAGGUGGAAUUCCACGUGUAGCGGUGAAAUGCGUAGAGAUGUGGAGGAACACCGAUGGCGAAGGCAGCCUCCUGGGCCAACACUGACGCUCAUGCACGAAAGCGUGGGGAGCAAACAGG
Molecule: ribosomal RNA, 253 nt
Filed under: uncultured bacterium
Lineage: Bacteria
Description: partial 16S ribosomal RNA
Rfam family: Bacterial small subunit ribosomal RNA
Source: RNAcentral